Molecule: long non-coding RNA, 151 nt
Organism: Melanotaenia boesemani (Boeseman's rainbowfish)
Lineage: Eukaryota; Metazoa; Chordata; Actinopteri; Atheriniformes; Melanotaeniidae
Exons: 4
Source: RefSeq, a predicted model, not a curated record
UUCAUAUUUUCACUAGCUGGAAAAAAGUGUCCUUGGGCAAGACACUUAACCCAUGUUGCCUUCUGAUGUGUCUAUCGGGGUAUGAGCGUGUGUGUGUGAAUGGGUGAGUGUGAUAUGUAGUGUAAAGCGCUUUGAGUGGUCAAGCUGGCUG